This 427-nucleotide ribosomal RNA is filed under the name uncultured Patulibacter sp. RNAcentral's name for it is "bacterial SSU rRNA". It matches the Rfam family "Bacterial small subunit ribosomal RNA", at positions 355 to 774 of the family's 1533-position model. Lineage: Bacteria; Bacillati; Actinomycetota; Thermoleophilia; Solirubrobacterales; Patulibacteraceae. The record is from RNAcentral.
UGGGGAAUCUUGCACAAUGCGCGAAAGCGUGAUGCAGCAACGCCGCGUGCGGGAAGAAGGCCUUAGGGUUGUAAACCGCUUUCAGUUGGGACGAGGCUUCGGUCGUUAAUAGCGGUUUGGAGUGACGGUACCUUCAGAAGAAGCGCCGGCUAACUACGUGCCAGCAGCCGCGGUAAUACGUAGGGCGCGAGCGUUGUCCGGAAUCAUUGGGCGUAAAGCGCGUGUAGGCGGCUGAGUAAGUCUGCUGUGAAAGUCCAGGGCUCAACCCUGGAAUGUCGGCGGAUACUGCUCAGCUGGAGUACGGGAGGGGCGAGUGGAAUUCCUGGUGUAGCGGUGGAAUGCGCAGAUAUCAGGAGGAACACCUAUGGCGAAGGCAGCUCGCUGGAACGUUACUGACGCUGAGACGCGAAAGCGUGGGGAGCAAACA